ACUGCCCAGAGCUGGCUACUCCCACCCUACACCUUUGCUCAGCUCCGCCCAGCAGGGCCCAGCUGCAGCGUCUCUGUCUGUCAGCCUCAGAGGCAGGUCUGGCUGUGCUGAGAUGGGGCUGGUCCAGCCAGGGCUGUGGCUGAAGAAGCUCUGGGUACUUUUGCAGGUGGUCCUGCAUGUGGCCUUGGGCAAAGUACAACUAAAACUGUUUCCCAAGAGAGUCAAGCAGCGCAUCUUGGCCAUGAACGGGAAGAACCCACACUUCUCCUAUGAAAACUGGGUUCCAACCCUCUUUGGCAUCCAGUAUUUCUGGUUUCUCCUGAAGGUUCGUUGGCAACGAUUGGAGGACAAGACUGAGGAAGGGGGUCUAGCCCCAAACUGCCCUGUGGUUCGCCUCUCAGGACAGACGUGUAACAUUUGGGACUUCAUGCAAGCACCUCAACAUUCAUGAGCACCUCCUAUGUGCCUGGUCUUCAGCUAGAUGUCAGGGUCACAGAGUUAACAUCAGCAGUCAGGCCUGGAUGCUGCCAUCCAUGUGGUUGCCAUGGGAAACCAUCAACACUGUAGGACUCCACCAUUCCUGACAGGAGAACCUCCAGUGGACCAUGUAUGACUUCUGCCGUCUCAGUGACUGCAGAACCAAAGAUCCGUGUGGGAGGGUCCAGUCAGUCCUGCGUGAGUCACUGACUGUGCCCUGGCUGCCGGGGGCAGAGAGCAGACCUGGUCAUUCUGUCUUCCCUAGUGCAAGGCUGGGCACACUCUCCCAUCAACAAGUAGUACACAAAAGAGGGAAUUCCAAGUAGGAAGGAGAGGUAGGAGCUGGGCAGCCAAAAUUGUAACAGAUAUCCACCAUUCUUGGUUUGUAUCUUCUUGACGUCCUAGUCAGAUUCUUCACAGUGUCAGAGAGCCUGCCCACUCUGGCCCAUACCCGCCCCUCCCGCCACGACUCUCACUGCACCCCAGCCUGGCUGGGGCCACAUUGGCCUUGCCGGUCCUCGAACACACCAAGCUCUGUCUGUCCCUCCUCAGAGCCUUUAUACAGGAGUCCCUUUGUCUGGAAUGCCCUACUCCUCCCUCUGUCCCCUCUGGCACAUUGCUAGUCUUCAUUUCCCCAGUUAAAUGGCCUCUCAUCAGAGGCCUUCCUGGGCCCACCUGUCUAAAGUAGGUGGCUCCUUUAUAGUCUCUUUCAUAACACUUGUCACAACUUGAAAUUACCUCAUUUACACAACAUUAAAUAGCAGCUAAAAAGUACCAUGCCAGGGCAAGAGAGAGGCCACAGAAGAUAAGAAAAAUCUUUGUAUUUUAAUAUACUAAAUGGAACUUUCCCCCACUUUUUGAACAAGGGGCUUGCUUAGUUGUUUUGCAACGGACUCAGCAAAUCAUGUCGGUGGCCCUGCUCCCAGUAUUUUGUCCCCUUGUGGAGUCCCUUUUGCCACCUCCCACUUCAUAGCUCGGGGAGCAGGUAAGAGCUACUGACAGCAGCUGACAUCAUUGAGCACCUCCCAUGGACCAGGCCCAUUUUAACCACUUGUCUGUGUUAAUUUCUUUAAUUCUCAUAACAAUCAUGUAAGGUAAGUAUUAUUACUAUGUUCAUUUGUGGAUGAGGACACGGAGUUCUCUGAGUGGAAAGAGCACUGAAUGAAAAUCUGGGAGCCAGAGCGUUCAUUUCAGCUCCACUACCGGUCUGCUGUGUGAUAUGAAACAAGACGGUAAACCUCAGUUUGUCCAUAAAACAGGGGAAAAGUUAUCUACCUUGUGGUAUACUGAUCACAUCACGUGAAAGAAUGGAUAUGUGCUCGCCUUAUAAACUGCAUGAAAGGGACUCUUUUUAUCAUUCUUUUCUUUCCCACCCAGCAACUGCAGGUGGUCCGCUAAGACCACCUGAUAAAGCCCCUCAUUCUAUACAAGGGUAAACUGGCUCCAGCUUCUGCUAAGCCAUGCUGUCUAUGCUUCAGCUCCUCACUGUGCCCUCAAUCCAACAUAGAGCGCGGGGGCGGGGGGAAUAUAACAGGAUUGAAGCAGGAGUGAAGGUGGGGCUUGCAAAACAACUGCUGUGUGUAGAUUAUUGGAUGGUGACGGUUUCAAUUCUG
This is an RNA transcript of Phyllostomus discolor (pale spear-nosed bat), 2090 nucleotides long. It is a transcript of the gene named iodothyronine deiodinase 1, with no coding region annotated. The record is from RefSeq and is a predicted model, not a curated record. NCBI's taxonomy places the organism in Eukaryota, Metazoa, Chordata, Mammalia, Chiroptera, Phyllostomidae. The transcript has 3 exons.